CCUACGGGAGGCUGCAGUGGGGAAUAUUGCGCAAUGGGCGAAAGCCUGACGCAGCGACGCCGCGUGAGGGAUGAAGGUCUUCGGAUCGUAAACCUCUGUCAGCAGGGAAGAACGGUCACUUUGCUAAUCAGCAGUGAAUUGACGGUACCUGCAAAGGAAGCACCGGCUAACUCCGUGCCAGCCGCCGCGGUAAUACGGAGGGUGCGAGCGUUAAUCGGAAUUACUGGGCGUAAAGCGCUCGUAGGCGGUAUGUCAAGUCAAGGGUGACAUCCCCGCGCUCAACGUGGGAACUGCCUUUGAAACUGGCAAACUGGAGUGUGUGAGAGGAUAGUGGAAUUCCAGGUGUAGGAGUGAAAUCCGUAGAUAUCUGGAGGAACAUCAGUGGCGAAGGCGACUAUCUGGCACAUAACUGACGCUGAGGAGCGAAAGCGUGGGUAGCAAACAGGAUUAGAUACCCCAGUAGUC
RNAcentral lists this ribosomal RNA (465 nucleotides) under uncultured bacterium. RNAcentral's name for it is "partial 16S ribosomal RNA". It matches the Rfam family "Bacterial small subunit ribosomal RNA", at positions 338 to 795 of the family's 1533-position model. The record is from RNAcentral.